AGCCUAAUGACCUCAUAUUAGGUAAAGUCUGCCCGGUGAUUUUUUUUAACGGCCGCAGUACUUUGACUGUGCUAAGGUAGCAAAAUAAAUAGGCUUAUAAUUAAGGUCGAGUAUGAAUGGCAUUAUGGGUGAAAGCUGUCUUACACAUACAUACAAAAAUUUAAUUAGUAGGUGAAAAUGCCCACAUAAAAAUAUUAGACGAGAAGACCCUUAGAGUUUUUAAUAAGCAUGCUACUAAUAGUGAUGAUUUUUUUUGUUGGGGCGACAUAGUAUCAUUUUAGCAUACUCAUAUUAUAGCUAUUAUACAAAUCUUCUUUACUUAUGAACAUAACUACCUAAGGGAUAACAGCAUAAUUUUUCUUUAAGAUUGUGACCUCGAUGUUGGACUAGGGACUAAAUAUAUAAGCCAUAUACUUAGAAUAUUCUGUUCGAAUAAUUUUUUACCU
Molecule: ribosomal RNA, 446 nt
Filed under: Arion vulgaris
Lineage: Eukaryota; Metazoa; Mollusca; Gastropoda; Stylommatophora; Arionidae
Description: partial 16S ribosomal RNA
Source: RNAcentral